This is a long non-coding RNA of Tachysurus fulvidraco (yellow catfish), 289 nucleotides long. RefSeq lists it as uncharacterized. The record is from RefSeq and is a predicted model, not a curated record. Lineage: Eukaryota; Metazoa; Chordata; Actinopteri; Siluriformes; Bagridae. The transcript has 3 exons.
CAUACACACAUACACACAUGUGUGUUCUCCUGAAGUCUACUAUCAUCUCCACAGCUUUGAGUAUGUUCAGAUCCAGGUUGUGGUGACUGCACCAGAUGGCCAGCUGCUCAACCUCUUGGCUCUAUGCAGACUCAUCUCUGUCCUGGAUGAGACCGAUGACUGUAGGGUCAUCUGCAAAUUUCAGGAGCUUGACAGAGGGGUGUUUAGAGGCGUCCUCUUUGGCCUGGCAAAGCUGCUUGAGUUUUGCGUUAAAUCAAGAGAAAUUGCCCCAUUGUGGUAUAAUAUGAAG